UACAGAGGGUGCGAGCGUUAAUCGGAAUUACUGGGCGUAAAGGGUGCGUAGGUGGAAAGAUAAGUUGGUUGUAAAAUUCCCGGGCUCAACCUGGGCAUGUCAAUCAAAACUAUCUAUCUAGAGUGCAGUAGAGGGAAGUGGAAUUUCCGGUGUAGCGGUGAAAUGCGUAGAUAUCGGAAGGAACACCAGUGGCGAAGGCGACUUUCUGGACUGUAACUGACACUGAGGCACGAAAGCGUGGGGAGCGAACAGG
This 253-nucleotide ribosomal RNA is filed under the name uncultured bacterium. Its description in RNAcentral is "partial 16S ribosomal RNA". It matches the Rfam family "Bacterial small subunit ribosomal RNA", at positions 524 to 776 of the family's 1533-position model. The record is from RNAcentral.